CCACACCGACAGCACAUAGCGAAGUAGUUGCUUGCCUUCAGGCCUUUGUUCAAAGGGCUGUUAUGAGAACCAGCUAUGCUUGCCAUGAAUUUCACAGCAACCUCUAGAAAACCUGAGGGGAAACUACUGGCUGAAGUUAAGUGCAAAGGACGGCGUUGGCUGCACUUGUGUGCGCCAUGCCUAGCGGACACCGGCAGAGUAAGGACCCAUGCCUGGAAAACCCAAGUGUGCCCCACAACAGAAAGAGGCAGGGAUAACCAACACCUUCCUUGAUCCCGUGUCGGACAAGAUGUACCGGUCACUUAGCAACCUUCAUUUCUGUGAGACAUACAGAUGGUUAAACACCAGCAGCAGGCUUCAGACCAGGGACUAGAUUUUUCUUUCGCGUUAGUUCUGACACUUCAAAAGCUUCUUACAUUUUACAUAGCUUCUUGCAUUACAUCCUUGCAAGAGGGAGGAGAGUUAUCCAUCAAUUACUGUAAGGAAGGCAGGAGUAACCCAUUUGGUGACAAAAGCAGUAACAGCAAUGCAAGACAAGUGCUGCUGCAAGGCAACAAAGUUCAGAGCAAGACUUACUUCCAGCAUCAGUACACUUGGAACCAGUCCUGGACUAGGAGCAGAGGAGAAUCCUGUAUGGGACCUUUUAUAUACUGGGAGAAGAGGCAAGUGGGGUCCCAGACUGUUCACACAUCAGUAUUUUUCACUGUUACUCUGCCCAAAUCUCUUGUGAAACUUUGCAAGCCAAAACUGGAGAUGUUUCAGAGGAUCUCAGGUACUAUAGGGAAGAGAGGAAUAUUCCUUACAAAUAUUUCUCAAAAGGAAUCCACAUUCAAUUGUUUCCCAUCCC
Molecule: long non-coding RNA, 847 nt
Filed under: Anser brachyrhynchus (Pink-footed goose)
Lineage: Eukaryota; Metazoa; Chordata; Aves; Anseriformes; Anatidae
Description: lncRNA (ENSABRG00000006700.1)
Source: RNAcentral